CGACAAGCUAGAUAAGGGCGUAUGGGGAAUGCCUAGGCUCUCAGAGGCGAUGAAGGACGCGAUAAGCUGCGAAAAGCUGUGGGGAGGUGCACAUAACUUGUGAUCCGCAGAUAUCCGAAUGGGGCAACCCACUAUAUUGAAGGUAUAGUAUCCCGUAAGGGAAGUGAACCCGGUGAACUGAAACAUCUAAGUAGCCGGAGGAAGAGAAAACAAAAGUGAUUCCGGGAGUAGUGGCGAGCGAAACCGGAUUAGCCCAAACCAGUGUUGUUUCGGCAAUACUGGGGUUGUAGGACCACGACAUUGAUUGCGUAAUGAAUUAGAACACUUUGGAAAGAGUGACCGAAGAGGGUGAUAGUCCCGUACAAGUAAAGAGCGUUAAUUAUAGUGGUAUCCUGAGUAGUGCGGGGCACGUGAAACCCUGUAUGAAUCAAGCGGGACCAUCCGUUAAGGCUAAAUACUCCUGAGAGACCGAUAGUGAACCAGUACCGUGAGGGAAAGGUGAAAAGAACCCUGAAUAAGGGAGUGAAAAAGAUCCUGAAACCAUACGCUUACAAGCGGUCGGAGCCCGUAAGGGGUGACGGCGUGCCUUUUGCAUAAUGAGCCUACGAGUUACUUUUACUAGCAAGGUUAAGCACUUCAGGUGCGGAUCCGUAGCGAAAGCGAGUCUGAAUAGGGCGACCAUAGUUAGUAGUA
Molecule: ribosomal RNA, 693 nt
Filed under: Methylophilales bacterium BACL14 MAG-120920-bin58
Lineage: Bacteria; Pseudomonadati; Pseudomonadota; Betaproteobacteria; Nitrosomonadales
Description: bacterial LSU rRNA
Rfam family: Bacterial large subunit ribosomal RNA
Source: RNAcentral